This is a long non-coding RNA of Alosa alosa (allis shad), 774 nucleotides long. RefSeq lists it as uncharacterized. The record is from RefSeq and is a predicted model, not a curated record. NCBI's taxonomy places the organism in Eukaryota, Metazoa, Chordata, Actinopteri, Clupeiformes, Clupeidae. The transcript has 4 exons.
UCUUUUCUUAGUGUUCCCGGCAAAUUCCCGGCAACUCUUAUUUCCAAUAUAACUUCCCCUCAGUUUCUCUAUAAAUGUCACCAAAUGCUCUAUUACUGAGGAAAUAUAUCCCUUAUUUUCAAAGCCCAAUAUUGAAGAAUAAUUUGACUUGCUACACGAUCUAUGCCAGGUCUCUGGGCUAUGGUGAUUUCAAUGGUUAGAUUGAUUUGUUUAGAUCCAGUGAAAAUGCUGCCUUGACAACGCUACGUCAUGGCUUCGGUGUUCCAAAAAGCCUCUGUCAGAAGUCUGUCACUUUUACAGUCUGUGAUAAAACACUUUGUGUACAUGUUGUUGAAACGUUAUGGAUAUUAGAAAGUUUUUCAAAAGACCACGCCAGCUCGCUCAAGCAACAGCAUCGCCCAGUGAACUGACGGAUGGUGUUGUUUCAGGAGCAAGGAGACUGAGGCCACCUAGAAUGAAUAGGCCGCCACCCUGGGAUCUUCCCACUGUUCUAGAAUUUCUUUGUGUAUAUUUUCACCUGCACCUGGCCUAAAUAUAGUGGGGAUGUGCACGCAACCACUCUACCAGACAUUGUGCACAUCGCUCUCCCAUGUCCACAUCAUUGAGGUGGCCAUGAGGAGGACGUCACCCAACCAACAACCUACAGUAACUACCUGAGCGCUGCCGCAAUGGCUACCCACUGCUCCAGCUAGUGACCUGUAACCACACCAGGAGAAGUGACCACAGGGACUCUGGGGAAGGAAGCAUCAGACAGUCUUUCUGAAUUUAAUAAAU